CUAUAGUCUGUACCAUACAAUAUGGCCUAGGUGUGUAGUAGGCUACACCAUUUAGAUUUGUGUAAGUAACACUCUGUUAUAUUCAUGCAAUGGUGAAAUUGUCUAAUGACACAUUUCUCUGAAUGUAUUCCAGUAGUUAAUGGACACAUAACUGUAAACGAAGUUUUAAAGCAUUUCAUGUAGGGUUACAGAGAGUACAUGGACCAAUCUUCAGACUUCAGAUUCCUACGAAAAAUGAAAUGGAAUUUGCUCCCUGUAUGUAAGUGACACUCAAUGGUGGACAUCCUUCAAAGGGAACUUUUAGACUGCAAGCUAAUCUUGGGAAUGAGAACAAAAGAGGAAGAGUAAAUGAAGCUCAGGGGAAGUUGAGUGGUCAGAAGAAGGAAAAGCUCAUGUCUACUCAGCAUAAAUGUGGUAUUUAGAACAAGAUCUGUGAAGGAGGUAAUGUUUGAGCUGGGUACGAAAGAAUGGAGGAAGACUUUGCUUAUACUGUGAUUAGGGGCCAAGUUAUGCCAGACAAAAGCAUGAGGCACAUGCAAAAUGAAGGCAGUGGGAAAGUAGAGGUAUGUUCAAGAAAACAUGUAUUAUAGUUAGGCUGAAGAGUAUAGCCUAGAAAUGGGAAUUGUGAUCUCCCGGGUCUUGCAGGUUUUGGAUGCUGUCUGCCUCUCCCACAUCAUCUCAUAUCACUCUUAGUUUAUCUUACUUAGCUCCAGCCACACCAACUUUCAUUCAAUUCCCAAAGCUACUCAAGCCUUUUGUUGCCUCAGAGGCUUGUACAGAUUCUUCCCUUUACCUGGAACAUUGCCACAAUAUUUGUAGGACUGGCUUUUUCUCCUUUUUUAGGUCUCAUAUGUCCCCUCUUUUGACAGGCCUCCCCUAGUCUUUAUCGCUUUACCCUAUUAUUUCCCUCUAAAGCACCUUCCCCCAUCUGUGAUUGUCCCAUUUAUUUGUUCAUUUUUUCCCUUAAAUUUCAUGAGAAAAGAGACCUUGUUUAUCUUGGUCACGAGUGUAUUCUCAGUAACUAACAUAGGGUCUGGCCCAGAGUGGUUGUUUCAAAAAUAAUUGGUGAUGAACUAAUCAGUUGAUCAAUGAACCAGUUGGCCAACAAUGGGAGUUGAGGCAGAGAGGACAGGCUAGGAGUGCUCUGGGGGGCCAUGAAGUUCAGGUUGAAACUUGGUUUUUAGUCUCUGGAUGAUGGAUAUAUGUGUUUCAUUAGGAGGCAGUUUGAAAAAGACACACAUGUCAUAGACUCAGAUUUCAAUCCAGGGCAUCCAGGAUAUGAAGAGUUAAUCCAAGCCAGAACCUGCUGUAGUUUCCUUUCUACCCACUUAGCAUUCA
Long non-coding RNA from Symphalangus syndactylus (siamang), 1338 nucleotides. RefSeq lists it as uncharacterized. The record is from RefSeq and is a predicted model, not a curated record. NCBI's taxonomy places the organism in Eukaryota, Metazoa, Chordata, Mammalia, Primates, Hylobatidae.